UUAAGCGACUAAGCGUACACGGUGGAUGCCCUGGCAGUCAGAGGCGAUGAAGGACGUGCUAAUCUGCGAUAAGCGUCGGUAAGGUGAUAUGAACCGUUAUAACCGGCGAUUUCCGAAUGGGGAAACCCAGUGUGUUUCGACACACUAUCAUUAACUGAAUCCAUAGGUUAAUGAGGCGAACCGGGGGAACUGAAACAUCUAAGUACCCCGAGGAAAAGAAAUCAACCGAGAUUCCCCCAGUAGCGGCGAGCGAACGGGGAGCAGCCCAGAGCCUGAAUCAGUGUGUGUUAGUGGAAGCGUCUGGAAAGGCGCGCGAUACAGGGUGACAGCCCCGUACACAAAAAUGCACAUGCUGUGAGCUCGAUGAGUAGGGCGGGACACGUGGUAUCCUGUCUGAAUAUGGGGGGACCAUCCUCCAAGGCUAAAUACUCCUGACUGACCGAUAGUGAACCAGUACCGUGAGGGAAAGGCGAAAAGAACCCCGGCGAGGGGAGUGAAAAAGAACCUGAAACCGUGUACGUACAAGCAGUGGGAGCACGCUUAGGCGUGUGACUGCGUACCUUUUGUAUAAUGGGUCAGCGACUUAUAUUCUGUAGCAAGGUUAACCGAAUAGGGGAGCCGAAGGGAAACCGAGUCUUAACUGGGCGUUAAGUUGCAGGGUAUAGACCCGAAACCCGGUGAUCUAGCCAUGGGCAGGUUGAAGGUUGGGUAACACUAACUGGAGGACCGAACCGACUAAUGUUGAAAAAUUAGCGGAUGACUUGUGGCUGGGGGUGAAAGGCCAAUCAAACCGGGAGAUAGCUGGUUCUCCCCGAAAGCUAUUUAGGUAGCGCCUCGUGAAUUCAUCUCCGGGGGUAGAGCACUGUUUCGGCAAGGGGGUCAUCCCGACUUACCAACCCGAUGCAAACUGCGAAUACCGGAGAAUGUUAUCACGGGAGACACACGGCGGGUGCUAACGUCCGUCGUGAAGAGGGAAACAACCCAGACCGCCAGCUAAGGUCCCAAAGUCAUGGUUAAGUGGGAAACGAUGUGGGAAGGCCCAGACAGCCAGGAUGUUGGCUUAGAAGCAGCCAUCAUUUAAAGAAAGCGUAAUAGCUCACUGGUCGAGUCGGCCUGCGCGGAAGAUGUAACGGGGCUAAACCAUGCACCGAAGCUGCGGCAGCGACACUAUGUGUUGUUGGGUAGGGGAGCGUUCUGUAAGCCUGUGAAGGUGUGCUGUGAGGCAUGCUGGAGGUAUCAGAAGUGCGAAUGCUGACAUAAGUAACGAUAAAGCGGGUGAAAAGCCCGCUCGCCGGAAGACCAAGGGUUCCUGUCCAACGUUAAUCGGGGCAGGGUGAGUCGACCCCUAAGGCGAGGCCGAAAGGCGUAGUCGAUGGGAAACAGGUUAAUAUUCCUGUACUUGGUGUUACUGCGAAGGGGGGACGGAGAAGGCUAUGUUGGCCGGGCGACGGUUGUCCCGGUUUAAGCGUGUAGGCUGGUUUUCCAGGCAAAUCCGGAAAAUCAAGGCUGAGGCGUGAUGACGAGGCACUACGGUGCUGAAGCAACAAAUGCCCUGCUUCCAGGAAAAGCCUCUAAGCAUCAGGUAACAUCAAAUCGUACCCCAAACCGACACAGGUGGUCAGGUAGAGAAUACCAAGGCGCUUGAGAGAACUCGGGUGAAGGAACUAGGCAAAAUGGUGCCGUAACUUCGGGAGAAGGCACGCUGAUAUGUAGGUGAAGUCCCUUGCGGAUGGAGCUGAAAUCAGUCGAAGAUACCAGCUGGCUGCAACUGUUUAUUAAAAACACAGCACUGUGCAAACACGAAAGUGGACGUAUACGGUGUGACGCCUGCCCGGUGCCGGAAGGUUAAUUGAUGGGGUCAGCGCAAGCGAAGCUCUUGAUCGAAGCCCCGGUAAACGGCGGCCGUAACUAUAACGGUCCUAAGGUAGCGAAAUUCCUUGUCGGGUAAGUUCCGACCUGCACGAAUGGCGUAAUGAUGGCCAGGCUGUCUCCACCCGAGACUCAGUGAAAUUGAACUCGCUGUGAAGAUGCAGUGUACCCGCGGCAAGACGGAAAGACCCCGUGAACCUUUACUAUAGCUUGACACUGAACAUUGAGCCUUGAUGUGUAGGAUAGGUGGGAGGCUUUGAAGUGUGGACGCCAGUCUGCAUGGAGCCGACCUUGAAAUACCACCCUUUAAUGUUUGAUGUUCUAACGUGGACCCGUGAUCCGGGUUGCGGACAGUGUCUGGUGGGUAGUUUGACUGGGGCGGUCUCCUCCUAAAGAGUAACGGAGGAGCACGAAGGUUGGCUAAUCCUGGUCGGACAUCAGGAGGUUAGUGCAAUGGCAUAAGCCAGCUUGACUGCGAGCGUGACGGCGCGAGCAGGUGCGAAAGCAGGUCAUAGUGAUCCGGUGGUUCUGAAUGGAAGGGCCAUCGCUCAACGGAUAAAAGGUACUCCGGGGAUAACAGGCUGAUACCGCCCAAGAGUUCAUAUCGACGGCGGUGUUUGGCACCUCGAUGUCGGCUCAUCACAUCCUGGGGCUGAAGUAGGUCCCAAGGGUAUGGCUGUUCGCCAUUUAAAGUGGUACGCGAGCUGGGUUUAGAACGUCGUGAGACAGUUCGGUCCCUAUCUGCCGUGGGCGCUGGAGAACUGAGGGGGGCUGCUCCUAGUACGAGAGGACCGGAGUGGACGCAUCACUGGUGUUCGGGUUGUCAUGCCAAUGGCACUGCCCGGUAGCUAAAUGCGGAAGAGAUAAGUGCUGAAAGCAUCUAAGCACGAAACUUGCCCCGAGAUGAGUUCUCCCUGACCCUUUAAGGGUCCUGAAGGAACGUUGAAGACGACGACGUUGAUAGGCCGGGUGUGUAAGCGCAGCGAUGCGUUGAGCUAACCGGUACUAAUGAACCGUGAGGCUUAACCUU
This 2899-nucleotide ribosomal RNA is filed under the name Escherichia coli STEC_S1191. RNAcentral describes it as "bacterial LSU rRNA". It matches the Rfam family "Bacterial large subunit ribosomal RNA". Lineage: Bacteria; Pseudomonadati; Pseudomonadota; Gammaproteobacteria; Enterobacterales; Enterobacteriaceae. The record is from RNAcentral.